AACAGGAUUAGAUACCCUGGUAGUCCACGCCGUAAACGAUGUCGACUUGGAGGUUGUGCCCCUGAGGCGUGGCUUCCGGAGCUAACGCGUUAAGUCGACCGCCUGGGGAGUACGGCCGCAAGGUUAAAACUCAAAUGAAUUGACGGGGGCCCGCACAAGCGGUGGAGCAUGUGGUUUAAUUCGAUGCAACGCGAAGAACCUUACCUGGUCUUGACAUCCACAGAACCUUGUAGAGAUACGAGGGUGCCUUCGGGAACUGUGAGACAGGUGCUGCAUGGCUGUCGUCAGCUCGUGUUGUGAAAUGUUGGGUUAAGUCCCGCAACGAGCGCAACCCUUAUCCUUUGUUGCCAGCGGUCCGGCCGGGAACUCAAAGGAGACUGCCAGUGAUAAACUGGAGGAAGGUGGGGAUGACGUCAAGUCAUCAUGGCCCUUACGACCAGGGCUACACACGUGCUACAAUGGCGCAUACAAAGAGAAGCGACCUCGCGAGAGCAAGCGGACCUCAUAAAGUGCGUCGUAGUCCGGAUUGGAGUCUGCAACUCGACUCCAUGAAGUCGGAAUCGCUAGUAAUCGUGGAUCAGAAUGCCACGGUGAAUACGUUCCCGGGCCUUGUACACACCGCCCGUCACACCAUGGGAGUGGGUUGCAAAAGAAGUAGGUAGCUUAACCUUCGGGAGGGCGCUUACCACUUUGUGAUUCAUGACUGGGGUGAAGUCGUAACAAGGUAACC
RNAcentral lists this ribosomal RNA (730 nucleotides) under uncultured bacterium. RNAcentral's name for it is "bacterial SSU rRNA". It matches the Rfam family "Bacterial small subunit ribosomal RNA", at positions 771 to 1501 of the family's 1533-position model. The record is from RNAcentral.